This 252-nucleotide ribosomal RNA is filed under the name Triticum aestivum (bread wheat). RNAcentral describes it as "partial small subunit ribosomal RNA". Lineage: Eukaryota; Viridiplantae; Streptophyta; Magnoliopsida; Poales; Poaceae. The record is from RNAcentral.
AUGAAAUGGCAAAUCUUGCUCAAGAUGCCAAACUACUCGAUUGCAACACAAAAAAUGAUUGUUGCGGCUACCAUGACACUACACAACUACGUCCCCCUCCAUGUCAAAGAGGAUCUCCACUUUCUUCGAUCUGAAAGGGAUCCGGAUUAUGUUCCAACCAUUCCUGAUAGAUACAAGAAGUAUGCUAUUCCUUCAAAUGCAUCGGAUGCUCAGAAAGUGGUCCUAACAUGGAUUUGUUUAGGCAUGAACUAG